Molecule: transfer RNA, 71 nt
Filed under: Capra hircus (goat)
Lineage: Eukaryota; Metazoa; Chordata; Mammalia; Artiodactyla; Bovidae
Also listed under: 1 other name
Rfam family: tRNA
About the family: Transfer RNA (tRNA) molecules are approximately 80 nucleotides in length. Their secondary structure includes four short double-helical elements and three loops (D, anti-codon, and T loops).
Source: Rfam by way of RNAcentral
UCCCCAGUGACUCAGUGGUAAAGAAUCUGCCUGCAAUGCAGGAGAUCUAGAUUCAAUUCCUGGGUUGGGAA